Molecule: ribosomal RNA, 395 nt
Filed under: uncultured bacterium
Lineage: Bacteria
Description: partial 16S ribosomal RNA
Rfam family: Bacterial small subunit ribosomal RNA
Source: RNAcentral
AUACGUAGGGUGCAAGCGUUAAUCGGAAUUACUGGGCGUAAAGCGUGCGCAGGCGGUUUUGUAAGACAGAGGUGAAAUCCCCGGGCUCAACCUGGGAAAUGCCUUUGUGACUGCAAGGCUAGAGUACGGCAGAGGGGGAUGGAAUUUCGCGUGUAGCAGGGAAAUGGGUAGAUAUGCGGAGGAACACCGAUGGCGAAGGCAAUCCCCUGGGCCUGUACUGACGCUCAUGCACGAAAGCGUGGGGAGCAAACAGGAUUAGAUACCCUGGUAGUCCACGCCCUAAACGAUGUCAACUGGUUGUUGGGGAUUUAUUUUCUCAGUAACGAAGCUAACGCGUGAAGUUGACCGCCUGGGGAGUACGGCCGCAAGGUUAAAACUCAAAGGAAUUGACGGGG